This 588-nucleotide ribosomal RNA is filed under the name uncultured bacterium. RNAcentral describes it as "bacterial SSU rRNA". It matches the Rfam family "Bacterial small subunit ribosomal RNA", at positions 338 to 942 of the family's 1533-position model. The record is from RNAcentral.
CCUACGGGAGGCAGCAGUGGGGAAUAUUGGACAAUGGGCGAAAGCCUGAUCCAGCAAUGCCGCGUGAGUGAUGAAGGCCUUCGGGUCGUAAAGCUCUUUUACCAGGGAUGAUAAUGACAGUACCUGGAGAAUAAGCUCCGGCUAACUCCGUGCCAGCAGCCGCGGUAAUACGGAGGGAGCUAGCGUUGUUCGGAAUUACUGGGCGUAAAGAGUACGUAGGCGGUUAUUCAAGUCAGAGGUGAAAGCCCGGGGCUCAACCCCGGAACUGCCUUUGAAACUAGAUAACUAGAGUCUUGGAGAGGUUAGUGGAAUUCCGAGUGUAGAGGUGAAAUUCGUAGAUAUUCGGAAGAACACCAGUGGCGAAAGGCGACUAACUGGACAAGUACUGACGCUGAGGUACGAAAGCGUGGGGAGCAAACAGGAUUAGAUACCCUGGUAAGUCCACGCCGUAAACGAUGAUAACUAGUUGUUCGGUCACUUGGUGACUGAGUGACGCAGCUAACGCAUUAAGUUAUCCGCCUGGGGAUACGGUCGCAAGNUUAAACUAAAUGAAUUGACGGNGNGAAGAGNGCGAGAGACAGAGGAGAG